RNAcentral lists this long non-coding RNA (16253 nucleotides) under Ananas comosus (pineapple). RNAcentral's name for it is "long non-coding RNA (ACOM_LNC029161)". Lineage: Eukaryota; Viridiplantae; Streptophyta; Magnoliopsida; Poales; Bromeliaceae. The record is from RNAcentral.
GCCGUUGUUGGGUGAGGUGCGAUUCGUCCGCCGCCAGACGGCUAGGACAGGAGUACGGUGAGCUGUUGCCAGCUGAGGUGCAUGUGAGAGUUCCUUCACCUCGAGCUAGACAGUGCGCGGACUAUCCGCGAUUGAUUGACUCAAGACCGAGUCGGGUGGCAUAGAGAACUAAGGUAAGAGAAACCUUAGGAAAGAAUGGCCAGUAGAAAAGUGCGACAAAGUGUAAAGAAUAAAGAAUAAGUAAAGAAUAAAGUUCGGCUAAGGAAUAAGAAUAGCUGAUUAGUAAAGAAAGGUUACAAGUAAAGAAUAGCUAAGAGCUAAAAGUAAUUAAAUGACAAGAGUAAAGAAUGAUUAAGAAUAUAAGUAGCGUUAAAGUAACCUACUUGCAUGAUUACAGGUAUUGCAUAUUGCAUUUCGUGAGGCAUGACAUGUAUUUCAAUUGAAUAUAUAUAUCUGUUGUAUAUUGUUGAACUAACAUGUUGCAGUGCCUCGUUAGACCUGUUGGUUGAGCUGGUUCUCUUGGGUGGCUAAACCCACUGAGGACUAUGGACAAUAGUCUCACCCCCGUGUUGCUGUUUUGGGGGUACAGGUACACACGUGUGCGGCGCGGCGGCGCAAGGCGAGGGCGUAGUUCUGCAGAUAGCGCCCUACCCCAGAGACCAGAGCUAGCAGUACCCCAUCUAUAUAGCUUAGGGGUAAAGGAAAUGAAAAGAAUACAAUGUAUCAAACUUGUAGUAAGUAAAUGUUGUAAUAACUUAGAUUGCAUUUGGAUGAAAAAGAAUGGAAACUGUGAUGUAAAAACUAUGAAAGUGAAUGAAUGUAAUAACUUAGGAUGUGUUUAUGUUGUAUGAUACCUUCCACUUGAAAUCUUGAUUGAUAUCCGUUCCUGGUUGGAACCUUCGUGAAUUGUAUUGAUUGCGAUGCUUUGAAUGUACAGGGGAGACUCUGUCCGUAGUACAAGGGAAACCUUGUCCAUUCGGCGAUGUCGGCGGCGCCGGGACCUUGGCCAAAUAGGCGGGUGGUCGCGGGCUGUGACAGUUGUGGUAUCAGAGCAUAAAGUAGAGAAUGGGAAUGGCUUAGACUGACCUAGGAGACCCUAGGAUAGUAAAACCAUAGAAGAAUAAGGCUCGUGAGAGACGAGGACUCAUGAUUCGUGGCGAAAGGUUAAUGGAUUGGGUUGUGUUGUAAACCUCUAAGACGGAUAUUAGAGGUAGACUCGAGGUGUUGUUUAUUCUCAGCCAAGGAUGUUCAUGUUGGGCGUACGACAACAUGAAACCGAGUGAUGUGAAUAAACACCCUUGCGUGACUUUCGCCUGAUUGGCUUUUGAGCCGGUGUUAGUGGUCUCGUGUUCGACCCAAGUUGGUCGAGAACUAAUCGAGUUGUCGUGUUUCAGGAAGCGAUGGCACCGCGUAGGCGAUCUUCUUCCAGAUCGGCGCGGGAGGGGACAAGUGGUGUUCCCGAGCAAGUCGACGCGAGCGAAGGCGCAGAGCUUCGUGAUCAGUUGGCCACACUCAUUGGAGUGAUGAGGCAACAAGCUGAUGUGGUGCAGAGGCAGCAGGAGGCUGCUAUGCGCCAGGAAGAGCGAAUGGAAAGACUCCAAGAAACGGUGGACCAGCUGGUGGGUGCACCAGCUGCGGCUCGUCGAGAACGGCCGGGAGUCGCGGCGGAGAUGUUCCCGUCGGGGUCGGGCGAUCCGACUCCUGUUAGUUCAGAGGUGGCGGCAGAAAGGGAGCGAGCUUUGGCUGCCCUCAUGGCUUUCAAGAAAUUUGAUCCGCCUACCUUCGAUGGUGAGGAUCCAGAUCCGUGGAUCGUGGAGAUGUGGAUUGAUGCCAUGGAAACGCUCUUCGAGGAUCUGUACACGUUGGAGCGAGACAAGGUAAACCUAGUCGCGCAUUAUCUCAAACAGUCGACGAAGGUGUAGUGGAAAGGCGUCAAGCAUGAUCGACCGCCUAGUCUCCCUCCUAUGACGUGGGAAGAAUUUCGGGGAUUGGUGUUCUCUGCUUAUUUCCCCGAUAGCGAGAAGCGGAAGCUCAAGGAAAGGUUCCUUAAGCUGCGGCAAGGAAGUCGCACGGUCAGGCAAUAGGAGCGGGAGUUUUUCCGUAUCGUGCAUUGUAUCCCAAACGUGGUGCGAGAUGACAAGGACAGGGCCGACUGCUUCGUGCGUGGACUUCAGCCAGAUCUUUACCAGGCGGUGCUGGUACUCAAGUUGCAGAUUUUUGCUGAAGUCCUGGAUCGGGCCUUGUGGAUAGAACAGGGCAACGCCUUUAUGCGGGAAGAGCGAGAGGCAUAUUACAAGGAAAAGGGGAAAGGACGACCGACAGGUGGAUCCAGUAGUCAGUCAAGUUCCCAACGGACUUUGACGAGUUCGCACUCGCGAUCCCGAGCUCCGGGGACAUACCGCAUUCAGUCCUCGGCGAAAUGUGCUAUUUGUGGAGGCCCUCAUUUCCCACGACAGUGUGAGCAACGUGAAGGCAAGUACUUCAAGUGUGGGCUGCCGGGUCAUAUGUGGGACGAGUGUCCGCGUGGUGACGGCCGGGCCUUGACACUGGCGACGGCCCAUCCCUCUCUGGGACAACCUGCAGGUGUGCCACCUGCGGCAUGGUCGGGAGAGCGGCCGUUGAGGACGAUGCAACCAGAGGGUUCGCGACGAGCGCCAGGUGGGCAUCGGUAAGCGACCCGAGUUGCAGAGCCUGCCGUUGCUGACGUCAUCGUGGCAGGUAUGAGUUAAUUGAGCAAGCAUGUGCUUUUACUAAUCUCAAGUUGGUGCAUAGCAUGCAUUUGUUGUUGGUCGGUUGCUACUAAUUAUAUAUUGCAUAGUAGGGACCGAAUAGUCGGGUAAGUAGACGCCCGUACAUGCUUGCAUUGUGAGAAGUGGCACCUGCUGGUGCAAGUAGAAAGCCAAGUGGUGCUAGCUAAUGGCUAGUGAUGAUUCUCCGGUACGGAAUGAGGCUCGUGGAGAACAUGGUCUAGUAAGUGACUCUCGAAAUAAUGGGUUGAAAAUUGUGAGAGUUGAGCCUUGAUGUUGAGGAUACUCGAAAGACACGGGAGUUGAGAAUGUAUUCCGGUAGAUCGAACAGUGAAGGUAGAAUCACUGUUGAGAGAGUAACCGUAUAGUUGCCGAAUACGGGCACGUAGGCCUAGUAGUACCUCAAGUUGAGGUCGGCGAGUCCUGCUCGUGUAGUCGGUGUGCAUAGGCAAGGUUGCCUGAUGCUAGAUUUCGUGGAACGCUUUAGAGGCGUAGAGCGCUCGAGUGUAGUUACUCGUGAAGUGCGGUUUUGAUUCAGCCGGUUGAGUGAAUUGGCAGUAGCACUUUAGCAGGGCUAAGUGUGAAGCGGGCCAUGGAUCACUCGUAGGGCUGGUGGCUCGCACUAGGUACCUGGGGGCCGAUAGAGUGUGUAGCUCUGUAGAGCAUGUCGUUUAGGACGACGACGACGAGUGGUGCUUGAGGAUGACCCGUGCCUGGACCGUUUGUGAACUGUGUAGCCUGGGCCCAUUGGGCAGGCGCAGUCAGCUGUGAGAGACAGCGGCCCGAUACCUACUGGUAGGGCAUAGUGUUGGUCAGGACGGUAGUCCGAGCUUGGACAUAAGUACGUGGAAUGCCACGCGAUAGAUCGUGAGAUUGAUGGCACACCAAGUGUGUAGUGACCCAACCCGAGGACUUGACGUGGUCUAGGAUCUUGGUUGCACCUGGUUGGAGUGUGUGUGAAUUCUCCAAUGAGAAUUUCGCCCAAUGAUGAUUGGAUCUACGAUGCGGGCAAGAGACGCUAUGCGUAGUUGUGACAGGUAUAGGCGGUAGGCCUACGUAAUGAUUAUGAUCGUUGGUCCGCCUGUGAAAACCGAUGAUCAGUGCGGCAAGCAACUCUGUUAGUGAGUUGGGCUUGGAUUCACGAACGGAGGGUUCGUGUGAUGUUGAACGUGGCUUGUGGUAGUAAAGGAUAAAGAGAAAAGUAAAGUGUUCUCUAGGAGACACUUGAAUAAGAAAUAGCCACGUGAGGGUUGGUGUAAGGAAGUGAAUUCUCGAAAUGCGAGAGUUGGACUUCGCUCAAAAUCGACAAAUUGUCGAGUGGUUGUGCUUCGGAAAUGCCGAAGAGGUCAAAUACACCAAAGGUGCAUUGCAACGGAUCUGCGAGAGCAAGUGUGCAAAAAUCUGCACUUGGCAGAUUUGCUCUCGGGGACCGAUCCCUGUCAAGGAAGGACCGGUCCCCCGUAGCUGGUUGGUGCGAGGUUGCGUGAUGCAACCGGUCCCUUGGCCAGAGGGACCGGUCCCCCGUAUGCGAAACCGGCGAGAAGAGGAAAUUGGCUAAGUCCUGCGAGAGCAAGCUCUCGGGGACCGGUCUCUAGUGGACAGACCGGUCUCCGGGGGACCGGUCCUCCAGGGACAGACCGGUUCCCGUAAGUGUGUUCAGGCUGAAGGCUCUCGGGGACCGGUCCCUGGCAGGGAGAGACCGGUCCCUCUACACAUAAAAUUUUCCAGGCAGGCUGGGUCAUGUUGGAGGAGUUGGAAUUGUUUGAGUUUCGAGGACGAAACUCUUAUAAGGAGGGGAGAAUGUAACAUACCGAAUUUUAAAUAUAAAAGAGAAAAAUAAAUAAAAAUAGUAUGAGAUACUAUUUUAUUGGAUUUAGAGAAGUGAAAUAUCGGUUGGGAACGACCUGUGCUGAAAUCGGAGCGAAAACAGAAGAUUUAGAAUUUUCUGUUGGAAACGGGACUGAUAAAUUAGCAGAAAAUGCACAGUCUCAGAAAAUUAUAAAAAAUUAGAGGAUAAGUCAGAAAUAUUUUUAUGAGGCUAGAUUUGAAGUUUCAUAUUUUUCUGACGCCCGUAGAGAGAGAAAUAGCAUCCGAAAGCUAUCUGAUAAAGAUUGCAGUUCGGUACAGUUUUCAGUGACCAAACGGGGUCGAAACUGAAAUAUUAAAAUUUCUUUGGACUUAUUAAGUAAAACCGAGCAUGCCUGUCAAAUUUGAGCUCAAACGGACAUUCAGAAGGGCUCCGGCGAAAAAUAAACUGCCCGAAGUGAAUAGUGCGUAGUUGAGGGGCAAAAUGGUAAAAAGGGUUUAAAACCCCUUUUCUUCUUCUCCUCCCAACCGUGGCUGCCCCAACCGCACACACCACACACGCAUACACAAGAACACACACACGCAUGGAAAGGAAAGGAGAGAAAUCCCUUUCUCUCUCUAAAUCUCUCCCAAAAUGGAUGGAUUUGGUGGAGAUUGAAGCUUGGAGGUGGAUCGCCUUCGUCUUCUUCAUCUUCUCCAUGGUUUGGAGCUCAUUUUGAGGUGAGCUUCUUGAGCCCUUUAAUGGUAGAUCUUUAAUGCUUGGUUUAAAUACCUUAUAAAUGGAUUUAGAGGAGUCCUAGCAUGCUAUCUAGAUGAUUAAUGCUUGAAUCAUGGAUCAAUUUAGUGAUUUCUUGCAUAGUUGUAACCUAGGGCUCCAAAAUGCAAACUUUCAAAAUAUGAGGGUUUGAUCUCAUUUGACCCUUCGUAAACCUAAUUGCUAGGUAACGAAACGCGUUGGCGAAGACGGUUCGGCAAUCCGACGAGCCGUUACAAAGUUAUUAAAGAAAUGGACGUUUAGGCUUCGGGUCCGCCGGGAGGGCCGAGGCGACGUCGUAAAAUCAUGGAAAUGGAUUUGAGGCAUCGUGGCACAUAACCGAAGACCUAUAAUUUUCGGGGCUGCGAAGCGGAGCACGGUUGAGGCGCAGUUGCAGUAUCGGGCCGUGCCGGAUACGGGUGCCGCGGGAGGCCGAUUGCAAGUGUCGACAAGCAAUCGGAACGCGAAUUAAGGUGGGUUGUGUUUACCGAAGCGACUAGGUCGCCUUUAUGUCUAAGAAACUAAGAAUCCAUGUUGAUGCAUAUAAAUGUAAAUGAAGCAUGUAAAUGAUGCAUGUAGCUAAAUAAUGCAUGUUGAUAGUAUGAUGUAAAUGCUAAAUAGAAUGCAUUAUGAGCAAGUUACAUAAUGCUAAAUAAUGUAAUGUAGAAAUGCUAGAAUGCAUUAUGAGCAAGUUACAUAAUGCUAAAUAAUGUAAUGUAGAAAUGCUAGAAUGCAUAAUGAGCAAGUUAUAUGAUGCAUGUUUAUAGUAUGAUGUAAAUGCUAAGUAGAUGCAUAUAAAUGAUAUAUGAGAUUAUAAACGCAUGAUUAGCAUUAUGAGAUCAUAGAUGCAUGCUUAGCAUUGUGAGAUUAUAUAUGCAUAUGAACUUGGUUGAUAACUCUAGCUUGAUUAGAGAGAUAACAUUGGAAAAUGAGAAUUGAUAACUCUAGAAUGAGUAGAAUGCUUAAUUGGACAAUUAGUAUGUGAAUUAGAUCGAGUGGCAUCUAACUUAGUGUUAAGGAACAUAGGUCGUGAGUAGACCUAGAAUCAAAUAGAUCGAGUGGCAUCUAACCUAGUGUUAAUAAACAUAGGUCGUGAAAUGAAAAGUACUUAACCUAGAGUCAAGUGAACCUAGGUUGGAAAGAAUAAUGAUCCUAGUGUAAUAAACCUAGGUUAAGAAUGUGAAAGCAAUAAACCUAAUGGGUGAACUUAGGUUGAGUAAAGGCUUAGACCUAGAGAGGUCAGUUCCAUAGGGUUAAGACCAACCCCUAUGUGAUGUGAAAUGGAUUCCGGAAUCCCAAGGCUAAAAGGAUACACCCAAAGUGGUGUCGGGUGUGUGCGACGAUUUCGCCGCCCAAGGGCUAAAGAACCAUUGUCGUGGCGUGUGCGACGAUUUCGCCGCCGGAUGGUUAGCCAGUUUGUGGAUCCUACCGCCUGUUGACUGAACCACUGUCGUGGCGUUUGUGCGACGAUUUCGCCGCCGGGUGGCUAAGUCAUGGACCUAGGCCGUUGUUGGGUGAGGUGCGAUUCGUUCGCCGCCAGACGGCUAGGACAGGAGUACGGUGAGCUGUUGCCAGCUGAGGUGCAUGUGAGAGUUCCUUCACCUCGAGCUAGACAGUGCGCGGACUAUCCGCGAUUGAUUGACUGAAGACCGAGUCGGGUGGCAUAGAGAACUAAGGUAAGAGAAACCUUAGGAAAGAAUGGCCAGUAGAAAAGUGCGACAAAGUGUUAAGAAUAAAGAAUAAGUAAAGAAUAAAGAUCGGCUAAGGAAUAAGAAUAGCUGAUUAGUAAAGAAAGGUUACAAGUAAAGAAUAGCUAAGAGCUAAAAGUAAACAUUAAAUGACAAGAGUAAAGAAUGAUUAAGAAUAUAAGUAGCGUUAAAGUAACCUACUUGCAUGAUUACAGGUAUUGCAUAUUGCAUUUCGUGAGGCAUGACAUGUAUUUCAAUUGAAUAUAUAUAUCUGUUGUAUAUUGUUGAACUAACAUGUUGCAGUGCCUCGUUAGACCUGUUGGUUGAGCUGGUUCUCUUGGGUGGCUAAACCCACUGAGGACUAUGGACAAUAGUCUCACCCCCGUGUUGCUGUUUUGGGGGUACAGGUACACACGUGUGCGGCGCGGCGGCGCAAGGCGAGGGCGUAGUUCUGCAGAUAGCGCCCUACCCCAGAGACCAGAGCUAGCAGUACCCCAUCUAUAUAGCUUAGGGGUAAAGGAAAUGAAAAGAAUACAAUGUAUCAAACUUGUAGUAAGUAAAUGUUGUAAUAACUUAGAUUGCAUUUGGAUGAAAAAGAAUGGAAACUGUGAUGUAAAAACUAUGAAAGUGAAUGAAUGUAAUAACUUAGGAUGUGUUUAUGUUGUAUGAUACCUUCCACUUGCAAUCUUGAUUGAUAUCUGUUCCUGGUUGGAACCUUCGUGAAUUGUAUUGAUUGCGAUGCUUUGAAUGUACAGGGGAGACUCUGUCCGUAGUACAAGGGAAACCUUGUCCAUUCGGCGAUGUCGGCGGCGCCGGGACCUUGGCCAAAUAGGCGGGUGGUCGCGGGCUGUGACAAUCAAUCCUACAGUUGAGGAUUCCAAGUUCAAUCCAUUCCUUAACUUUAAGGAAGACUAUGCUCAAUUGACCCUUAGUACUAAGGUUGAAUGUCAUAAUAUCUCAAUCGUUCUUGUUCUUGCAUUCUUUACUACCACUAAUGUCAUAUACACUAUCAAGUUCUUGAACUCAUGCCACACUUGUUCUCUAAAUGCUAGAUUUUUGUCCUCAUGCCAAAUGCCACACUUGUUUACUAAGGAUUCUAGACUCGUCGAUGUCAUUUGCUAGAUCUAUGUCAAAGUGUCACUUUUCGUUUACUAACCCUUCUAGGUUCUUGUCACAAUCAUGCAUACAUAGGGAUCAUCAUUCUCACACCCUUACAAAUAUUUAACAUGCAUUUGAAUUUACAUUAAACUAUAACAAAACUCACAAUUGACCCUAUUAUGCAAGAUGCUCAAAAAUGCACAUAUACUCAAAAUAUAACAAUUAGACAUAGAAAGACUUCCGAUGUCCUUGGAAUGCACCACCUACCUUAGAUGGUUACAAGGAUACUUCGGUGAAUUUCUUGGAAUUUUUUUGAAACCCUAAUCCGCGUGCUGCGGCUAUCUGUACGGAAAACGAUGUUUUUGUCAAUAACUUUGCAUACACUCGUCGGAUUGUCGAACCGAGCGUUCCAACGCGUUUAAAAUACCCUCAAUUAGGUUUCUACAUGAUCAAAAUAUAUCAAAACCUAACUUGGGCAAAACCCCUCUUUGGGAUGCCCUAACAUGCAAUUUUUGUAUUUUUCCUAGAUUGAUCUCAUUACUAAGAAAAAGAAAGCUUAGAAUCACUUGGGAAGCUUUCUAACAAGGUUUCUAAACUUUUAGAACCAUCCCUAGAGCAUCUACUUUGAGCCCUAGUGAUCCACCAUGAGAGGGGUCCAAGAAAUCCAUGUUUUUCAUGGAGUCAUGGUUCUUAGAGGAUUUCCUCACUUGUAGAGAGAUCAAGACCCAAAAAUCUAAGGUCUAAACCCAAACCCUAAACCCAUUUUUGCAUAAGGACUCACUUUUGCCCAAGCUCCAUCAAAGCCUACUUGUUGGAGAGCUUCUAGGAACACCAAAGCCACCAAAAUCCAUUUCUCCAAGCUCUUCUCCACCUUCUCCAAGCUCUAGGGCUUGCUUUCUAGAGAGAGAAAGAGAGGAAAAUGAGAGAGGGGGAUGUGUGUGGCUGUGGGAGGGAGAGAGAGAGGUGUUGGGGAGUUAACAUGUUGCUACAAUUGCAACUAGGCCCUCCAUUUCUUUUUAUUUGCGUCAGACCUCACUGGGCUGUCUGGGGCCUCUUGUACCGGUACAAGGAUUCUUGUACGGGUACAAGGCCAAACAGUGAGCCAAACCCGAGAGCUGCCUCUUGGGUUCGCAGGGUCUGUACCGGUACAAGGGGUCUUGUACCGGUACAAGGCCUGGACUGCACCAACCCGAGAGCUGCCUCUCGGGUUCGCAGGGUCUGUACCGGUACAAGGGGUCUUGUACCGGUACAAGGCCUGGACUGCACCAAUCCGAGAGCUACUCAGCUCGGAUUGCGCUGGUUGUACCGGUACAACUAUCACCUUGUACCGGUACAACAGCUCCAGAAUGUUGUUUUAGGCUUCGAUUCGACUCUACCUCGCGUCGGUCGAUGCUAAAACCAUUCUAAGUCUUCCCAAACUCAUUUUUAGCCCUUCCAACAUUAUUGGAAUGCAAGAGGAACUUGUCUAUCGUUUUCUUUCGAUGCUUUAACCAAUUUGGUCAAAGUUCAAUUAUCGUUUUCGGGUUUCGAUAUGUUACAUGCAGCUUGCCUCCUUCGGACCUGUCGAUCGAGCUUUUCCCUUGAGCGGCCGUACCCACUGGGAACUAUGGAGUUAGUUCUCACCCCACGUUGCUUUUGGGGUGUUACAGGUUCACACGUGAGCGGCGCGGCCACGCGAGGCGAGGGCGUAGCUCCGUAGAUAGAGCCCUACCACCGUGACCAGAGAUAGCAGUACCCAAGUCAGCCAAGCUAGGGGUUGUAGAAAAUGAAAGCAAAAUGAUCAAACUUGUAAUAAUCUUGUGAUGAUUGAUUGUAUUCGGAAGUUUAAAUGUAUUUGAAAGGAAAAGAAAUGUAAAUAAUAUCAAGUGAAUGAAUGUAAUAACUUAGGAUGUGUUUAUGUUGUUUGAUACCUUCCUUAUGCAAUCGUUGUAUGUUGAAUACUGUUCUUGGUUGGAACCUGUUGUAAUUGUAUUGAUUGCGACGCCUAGGACGUACAGGAAAAACUCUGUCCGUUCGGCGGUCUGUCGGCGUGCCGAACCUGACCAAAUAGGCGGGGCUCGGGGCGUGACAACACUGGACCUUUGUAAAUUGUGAGGUUCGAGUGUUUGAUUUGUAUUCUGAGCUUUUCCACAUUUUUUGGAAGGUCGUAGAUAGUGUUUCGACCUAUGGCUCGCAUCUCGAGAAUCGAGAUUUUAAACUUAGCGCUAAGGUCUCCAAAGAGAAGGACUUAGGCUGCUCUCGGGUUGGUUUCUGCAGAGUGUGGUACCGGUACAGCAUUGAGCUUGUACCUGAAUGAGGGGUGGUACCGGUACAACAUCGGGUUUGUACCGGUAUCAGGCAUCGUUUUCUGCCAACCCGAGGCUCGGGUUUGCGUGCACAGUGUUUGAUACCGGUACUCUUGCCCGAUGGUACCAGUACGCAGUGCAGUCCGCAAACUGCUUGUUUUGGGAGGGUGUUUUUACAAUUAUAGCAUCUCUAUAUAACACCCCACGCCCCUUAGGUGUUUCCCUGAGCUUGGAAACACAGGAGGAAGGGAGGAAAGCCCUCCACUUCCACCCUUUGGUUUUUUUUGAUUUAUGUUGGAAUUUUUCAGAUUUAAUCCUCUCUUUUUGUCCCUUUUUGCUUGUUGGUAGUAUUUCCACCAUGGUUGAAGGCUUGGAGCUUGGAGAAAAGCUUGUUGGAGGAGAGAUCUUCAACCCUAGUUGAUUUCAAGCCUUAUUUGGAGCUUCUCUUGAGGUUAGUAAUAUAUUUCUUGCUUUAGAUUCAUGUUUUAAUUGAUUUCUUGAGAUGAAACCCUAGAAUGUGAAACCUAGGGUUUAUUUUGGGGGUUUUUAAUUUGUAGCUCUUGGGGCUCAAUUGAUAGGUGUAGAACAUCUCGUUGGGAUAGAUUUGAAGGGCUCUAGCAUCCAUUUGAAAUUUGAGAGGGAUUUUCUAAACAUUAGGUGAGUUUUGCCUUAUUGUUGGAUUUGUUAAAGAUGAACACUUUGGGUGUUCGGUUAUUUUGUUUAACCCUCUUAGAAUUCUCUUUAGGGAGCUAAGAGACUUAUGGACAACUUCUUUUGUGUAAACGAAAGGGUUGCAAGAAGCCUCGGUGAGUUUGACCUCACCAAAAUGAGAAAAUCUCACCUAUGUCUUUUUAAAUAUUAUAAAAUAGAAAAUCAUGCAUAUUCAUGCUAGAUAAGGCAUAAAUGAAUUUUAGAAUGCUUGAAAUACACAUAUUAUAUACAAUGCAAAUUUGUACCUCUAUGUAGUAGAGAGUUAUAUAUGUCGGAAUCUUGCAUAUAAAUAGCAUUCUUAUAUGUGGCUUGGGAUCAUGUUUCAUGUAGUGAAAAUGACAAGUAUAAUAUGCCCUUGGACAUAGAUCUUAUAUUGGACAUAGGAGAAAACAUAAUGCCAUAAAGAGGCAUUAGACUAUAGUGAUGUGUGAAUUAGUAAGCUAAUGUCAUAAAGUGGCAUUAGGCUUAGAAUGUACUUGGACAUAGUAAGCUAAUGUCAUAAAGUGACAUUGGGCUUAAAAUGUGAUUGGACUUAGUAUGUUAAUGUCAUAAAGUGACAUUGAACUUAAUAUAUAGUUAAACCUUACCUUGGAACAUUAAACUAGACCGUUGGGGUUGCUAAUGAUUAUUACCAUGUUAGAGACAUGAUGACCGGGUUCUUGAGAUGACGACUAUGCUUGCUUACUAUUUGUGCUCAUUCGCACAUACUUGUGAGGGUCGCUCCCUACAAGCCGGCACUCCGGAGUUAGCCUACACGACAUAUACUCGCUUGUGCGGUAUUGAGAAGCCUACGGGGCCGGGUAGGAUAGACUCAUUCCUAGAGUGGGAAUAUUGAGCUACCACUGGCAUUUAGGCGGCACAAGCCGGACUACACUUGUAUAGGUCCUAAAAUGAGAUUGGAUAAUGACAUUAAACCAUAAUAUGACAAUCACUACUAGAUAGUUGUAGUAGUUGAAUUUCUUGAACAUGCUUGUGGCAUAGUAUUAAACACUUGGUUGAUAUACUUGGACAUAUAGUAUACUUGAUAGGGUUGCUUGUUGCAUUAUAGUAUACUUGUAUGACAUGUUUAAAGCACACUAGUAUAUAUUCUAAUGAUAUACUCAUCCAUGUUAGGCUAGCUAAUGCAAUUGUGGAACUUCAUGUUAUGUAAUGGCAUAGUAGCUAACAAAUUUAAUUCAUGUUUUAUUAUUCAUACUAUCGCUUCCAAUUAAGUGUUAGAAUUAUCUACUUUGCUUUUGGGCCUAGUGGUGCAUUUGCUAAGGUCAGUAAUUGUCUACUGGGAACUAUUAAUUAUAGUUCUCACGCCCCCUGUUUGUUAUUUUCUUUCAGAGCCUUCCACCUCGAGAGAGGCUCGGGAUCACGGGAAAGGGAUCGCCUCGAGCUAGUUAGCGAGAGAUUGUGCGAUAGGUGGUCCACCUCUCUUUUUAUUUCAUUUUGGAGAGGUUGAGAGAUCUAUACCAUUUUGUAGAGACCACCAUUUUGGAUAUUAUAGCACUUGUAUUUGAGACUUUUGAUGGAUUACUCUAUGUCUUAUCUUACUGGGUUUCCACCCUUCAUGAGCUUUGUAGUGAAGAAUAUUGAUUAAAAAUGUGGAUUUGCAAGCUAGCUAAAUACUAAUUGGUCAUAGUCACAAUUCUCCAAAUGUUGGUGGAUUUGAUUAGUUGAAUAAGAAGUUAAUUAAAAAUAAAAAAAAACUAAUUGGUAGAAGCUCUUUACGACAACAUCAUUCCUUUUCCAUUCAUUGUUUCAGGAGGGUAUAUUUAGGGUUGUAGCCGCAAUACUUCAUAUAGGAAAUAUCGACUUUUCAAAGGGGACAUAUAUAAAUAGAUUCAUCUGUAAUAAAGGAUGAGAAAGCAAGGUUCCAUUUGAACACAGCAGCAGAACUUCUAAUGUAUGUCGAUUUCAUUCCAGCACCAUAGGCCAUUUUUUUUCUAUAAUUUCCGAAAGCUAGAUGUUUGUAGUUUAUUAUUCAUGUAAUUCAUCAGCUAAUGUUUUUGCAGGUGUGAUAGCGAGAAACUAGAGAAAGCACUGAUAACACGUGUGAUAGUAACACCAGAAGGAGUUAUUACUAGAACGCUUGACCCUGCUUCUGCAAUUGUUAGCAGGUAUGGAUUAGCAAAAACAAUAUACUCCCGGUUGUUUGAUUGGUAAUGUGUUUGAUUAUAUAAGAUUAGUUCCUACACAAAUUAAAGAGUAUUUCGUUAUUGAUGCAAAGCAAGAAAUUUUAUUCCUCUUUUGUUAGAAACUGACUAUUAAUGAAUCCUAUGGAUGAAAACAGUGACUGGAAAAGCUAUAGGUAUUUAUUGCAAUUAAGUUUAGUGAUAUCUGUUAUUUGUAUUUAUUACACUAAAAAGCCCAGUGGUUAGGCAACAAUUAUAUAAAUAGAUAAAAAAGUGAUUAAUAUAAACAAACAGAGCAUAUGCAUGAAUAUCCAAAGCUAAUUAAAAAUGAAAAAAAAAAUCAAAAAAAUGAUCAAAACUUACCAAAAGAAAGUAGUGAGAAAGAAGGAAAGUGGACGAACGAUUCCUCCCAAGCGGCGAUCGUGUGCGGCUCGGAGAAGGUCCUCCUAAGCGGCGAUCGCGUGUGACACGACGAAGGUCCUCUGUAAGGUACCGGACUUCUAAAAUUAUGAAGUUACGGUGUACAUUUAAAUAGUUCCGGUGAGGUUGCGGUGGAAUGUAACAUACCGGAUUUUAAAUAUAAAAGAGAAAAAUAAAUAAAAAUAGUAUGAGAUACUAUUUUGUUGGAUUUAGAGAAGUGAAAUAUCGGUUGGGAACGACCUGUGCUGAAAUCGGAGCGAAAACAGAAGAUUUAGAAUUUUCUGUUGGAAACGGGACUGAUAAAUUAGCAGAAAAUGUACAGUCUCAGAAAAUUAUAAAAAUUGGCGGGGAUGUUAGAAAUAUUUGUAUGAGGCUAGAUUUAAAGUUUCAUAUUUUUCUGACACCCGUAGAGUGAGAAAUAAAAUCCGAAAGUUAUCUGAUAAAGAUUACAGUUCGGCACAGCUUUCGGUGACCAAACGGGGUCGAAACUGAAAUAUUAAAAUUUCUUUGGACUCUUUAAGUAAAACCGAAUAUGACUGUCAGAUUUGAGCUCAAACGGAUAUUCAAGGAGCUGCGAAAGAUAUCAGAUUUGGAACUCUGAUUUGAUGUGAAUGUUUAUGUAUAUUGACAGGUUGUUGACUAUAAGUAAGAAGGUACUAGCUUCUUCCUUUCACGCCGGACCAUCCACCCUAACAAGCACACGUUCACAUGGGAAUCGAGCGUCGGUGUAGUGAUGAGAACCAUCCUUUUUCUCUCUCUAAAUAUCGUUCUCAGUCUCUCAUAUAUUUCUGCCCAAAUUGCGGCGGGUGGGUGGAGAUCGAGUUGUGAACUCCUUUUGGAGGCGCCGGAUGAAGCGUUUCGUACGCGCGUUGGAGCGGCGUGUUUUCGUCUUUUGCGGGUUCACUUGGGGUAAGCUUUUGAGGAUUUGCUUUAAUCUUAGCUUUAAAGUGUUCUGUAGCCUCUAAUGAAUCUUUGUUUGGCAUGUUGAUCCAUUUUAUAUUGGAAUUAUUUGGAGGGUUAAUUGUACGUUAGGGCACUCAAAUUGCAACGUUUUUAAAAAUAUGACGGGUUGGAUCUCAUUUUGCUUUCAGUAACUAAUUGUAGUAACGAAAAAGGUUGGCGAAGACGGUUCCGAGUAAUCCGACGAGCGUUACAGAAGUUAUUAAAGAGAAUAGACGUUUAGCUUCGGCGUCUGUGCGGGAGGGCCAAGGCCAGACGUCGUAAAUCAUGAUAAUGGAUUUAAUGGCAUCGUGGCACGUAACGAAGACUAUAAUUUUCGGGGGGUCGCGAAGCGGAAACACGUGGGCGCAGUUGAGUAUCGGGCGGCGGAUACGGGUGGCGAAAGGGCCAAUUUGCAGAGUGCUCACAAGCAAUCGGAACGCGAAUGGAGGUGGGUUGUGCUUACGAAUGCGACUAUGUCGCCUUGUCUUUAGCAUUAUCUCUAUUGAUUGCAUGUGCAUGUAGGACAAGACUAAAUGGUGAUAAUAAUAUGCAAUUAAUGUAAAGGCUAAUGUGAAGAAUGGGCAUGUACAACGAUUGCAGCUGACUAAAAUAUAGCUAAGUAGCGCAAGGGUGAGAAUGUAAUUGCUAGUAAUGUUAAGAGUGAUAUUAAUAAUAAGUUGCAUAGAUAGAAAUGUCAAUGUAUGAUGAGGAAUUAGAUGAGUAUCUCGUAGUAAGCCGAGUGAUGGACAAAUAGGAGUUGCUCAAGGUAUAAUGAGUGGCAUUCACUAGUGGUAAAGAAUCAUAGUGUGAUGUGAACAUAGUUUGGAAAAGAAGAAUGAUCUAUGUGUAAAUAAACUAGGUUUAUAGAAUGUGAAGCAUAAAUAAUGGGUGACUUUAGGGUUGAGGUAAGGGUUAGUAUCCUAGCAGAUAAGUUUCCAUUAGGGUUGAAGACCAACCCUUGUGAUGAUGAAAUGCGAUUCCGGAAUCCCAAGGCUAUAGGAUUACACCAAAGUAGGUUGUUGAGGGUGUGCGACGAUUUCGCGCCAAAGGGCUAAAGAACAUUGUACGUGGCAGUGUGCGUACGAUUUCGCGCCGGAAUGGUUAGCCAGUUGUGGUUAUCUACGCUGUUGACUGAACACUGUCGUCGCGUUUUGCGCGAUUUCAGCCGGCCGUGGUGGCUAAGUCAUGGACUAGGGCCGAUUGUUUGAGAUGAGUGCAUUAGUUCGCCGCCAGACGGCUAGGACAGGAGUACGGUGAGCUGUUGCCAGCUGAGGUACAUGUGAGAGUUCCUUCACCUCGAGCUAGACAGUGUGCUGACUAUCCGCGAUUGAUCGACUCAAGACCGAGUCGGGUGGCAUAGAGAAGUAAGGUAAGAGAAACCUUAGGAAAGAAUGGCCAGUGAAAAAGUGCAACAAAGUGUAAAGAAUAAAGAAUAAGUAAAGAAUAAAGAUCGGCUAAGGAAUAAGAAUAGCUGAUAAAGUAAAGAAAGGUUACAAGUAAAGAAUAGCUAAGAGCUAAAUGUAAACAUUAAAUGAUAAGAGUAGCGUUAAAGUAACCUACUUGCAUGAUUACAGGUAUUGCAUAUUGCAUUUCGUGAGGCAUGAUAUGUAUUUCAAUUAAAUAUAUAUCUGUUGUAUAUUGUUGAACUAACAUGUUGCAGUGCCUCCUCGGACCUAUCGGUC